CAGACUUCAGAAAGUUCACAUGAGGAUCACUCAGCUGUGUUUUGGACACAUGUUUCCUUUAAUGGCAGCACUGCUCCUGCUUUUGUUGAGUGGAGUCAGAUGUGAAGAGCUCACUGCUCUAAAGCCUGAGGUCUGCGCUUCAGAAGGCUCCUCUGUCUCUCUGGGAUACUCUUAUGAGAAAGGAGCAUCUGGUGGUGAUGAGUUUUAUUGGUAUCGACAAUAUCCAGGGAAACCUCCAGAAUUCAUCUAUUCUCAUUUGGGAACAGGAAAAAAACUUAAAAGUGAAAUCCUGGGUCUUUCAGUCCAAAUAAGCAAAGACAGCAGACAUCUCCAUGUGCUGGUGUCGUCUGCUGCAGUGGGAGACUCUGCUGUGUACUACUGUGCUGUGAGGCCCACAGUGACAGCAAACCCACAGUCUCUGAACAAAAACCUGUGA
Non-coding RNA from Boleophthalmus pectinirostris (great blue-spotted mudskipper), 436 nucleotides. Lineage: Eukaryota; Metazoa; Chordata; Actinopteri; Gobiiformes; Gobiidae. The record is from the annotation of a RefSeq genome assembly.